This 460-nucleotide ribosomal RNA is filed under the name uncultured bacterium. RNAcentral's name for it is "partial 16S ribosomal RNA". It matches the Rfam family "Bacterial small subunit ribosomal RNA", at positions 338 to 795 of the family's 1533-position model. The record is from RNAcentral.
CCUACGGGCGGCAGCAGUGAGGAAUAUUGGUCAAUGGGCGCGAGCCUGAACCAGCCAAGUAGCGUGAAGGAUGACUGCCCUACGGGUUGUAAACUUCUUUUAUACAAGAGUAAAGUGAGGCACGUGUGCCUUUUUGUAUGUACUUUAUGAAUAAGGAUCGGCUAACUCCGUGCCAGCAGCCGCGGUAAUACGGAGGAUCCGAGCGUUAUCCGGAUUUAUUGGGUUUAAAGGGAGCGUAGAUGGGUGGUUAAGUCAGUUGUGAAAGUUUGAGGCUCAACCGUAAAAUUGCAAUUGAUACUGGCAGGCUUGAGUACAGUUGAGGUAGGCGGAAUUCGUGGUGUAGCGGUGAAAUGCUUAGAUAUCACGAAGAACUCCGAUUGCGAAGGCAGCUUACUAAACUGCCACUGACAUUGAUGCUCGAAAGUGUGGGGAUCAAACAGGAUUAGAUACCCUUGUAGUC